This 29-nucleotide non-coding RNA is filed under the name Mus musculus (house mouse). Lineage: Eukaryota; Metazoa; Chordata; Mammalia; Rodentia; Muridae. The record is from RNAcentral.
UAAUGUGCACGAUAGGAUCAGGAGAGAGC